GGUAAAGUGGCUGAGUUUUAGGCGGUAGAUUGUAAAUCUACAUAUGAGAUUUUUAUCUUCUUUAUCA
Molecule: transfer RNA, 67 nt
Filed under: Limulus polyphemus (Atlantic horseshoe crab)
Lineage: Eukaryota; Metazoa; Arthropoda; Merostomata; Xiphosura; Limulidae
Rfam family: tRNA
About the family: Transfer RNA (tRNA) molecules are approximately 80 nucleotides in length. Their secondary structure includes four short double-helical elements and three loops (D, anti-codon, and T loops).
Source: RNAcentral